Molecule: ribosomal RNA, 724 nt
Filed under: Escherichia sp. C3
Lineage: Bacteria; Pseudomonadati; Pseudomonadota; Gammaproteobacteria; Enterobacterales; Enterobacteriaceae
Description: bacterial SSU rRNA
Rfam family: Bacterial small subunit ribosomal RNA
Source: RNAcentral
AACGGUAACAGGAAGNNCAGCUUGCUGCUUUGCUGACGAGUGGCGGACGGGUGAGUAAUGUCUGGGAAACUGCCUGAUGGAGGGGGAUAACUACUGGAAACGGUAGCUAAUACCGCAUAACGUCGCAAGACCAAAGAGGGGGACCUUCGGGCCUCUUGCCAUCGGAUGUGCCCAGAUGGGAUUAGCUAGUAGGUGGGGUAACCGGCUCACCUAGGCGACGAUCCCUAGCUGGUCUGAGAGGAUGACCAGCCACACUGGAACUGAGACACGGUCCAGACUCCUACGGGAGGCAGCAGUGGGGAAUAUUGCACAAUGGGCGCAAGCCUGAUGCAGCCAUGCCGCGUGUAUGAAGAAGGCCUUCGGGUUGUAAAGUACUUUCAGCGCGGGAGGAAGGGAGUAAAGUUAAUACCUUUGCUCAUUGACGUUACCCGCAGAAGAAGCACCGGCUAACUCCGUGCCAGCAGCCGCGGUAAUACGGAGGGUGCAAGCGUUAAUCGGAAUUACUGGGCGUAAAGCGCACGCAGGCGGUUUGUUAAGUCAGAUGUGAAAUCCCCGGGCUCAACCUGGGAACUGCAUCUGAUACUGGCAAGCUUGAGUCUCGUAGAGGGGGGUAGAAUUCCAGGUGUAGCGGUGAAAUGCGUAGAGAUCUGGAGGAAUACCGGUGGCGAAGGCGGCCCCCNNNUGGACGAAGACUGACGCUCAGGUUGCGAAAGCGUGGGGAGCA